GACAGAGGGGGCAAGCGUUGCUCGGAAUUACUGGGCGUAAAGGGCGCGUAGGCGGGAUGGCAAGUCGGUCGUGAAAUCCUUCGGCUCAACCGAAGAACGUCGGCCGAUACUGCCGUUCUUGAGGGAUGCAGAGGAGAUUGGAAUUCCCGGUGUAGCGGUGAAAUGUGUAGAGAUCGGGAGGAACACCGGUGGCGAAGGCGGGUCUCUGGGCAACAACUGACGCUGAGGAGCGAAAGCGUGGGGAGCGAACAGG
Molecule: ribosomal RNA, 253 nt
Filed under: uncultured bacterium
Lineage: Bacteria
Description: partial 16S ribosomal RNA
Rfam family: Bacterial small subunit ribosomal RNA
Source: RNAcentral